Molecule: small RNA, 28 nt
Filed under: Bombyx mori (domestic silkworm)
Lineage: Eukaryota; Metazoa; Arthropoda; Insecta; Lepidoptera; Bombycidae
Description: ovarian small RNA-35517
Source: RNAcentral
UGUAUGUUACUAAUUCCAUUGUUCUAAA